RNAcentral lists this ribosomal RNA (407 nucleotides) under uncultured bacterium. Its description in RNAcentral is "partial 16S ribosomal RNA". It matches the Rfam family "Bacterial small subunit ribosomal RNA", at positions 30 to 526 of the family's 1533-position model. The record is from RNAcentral.
AUUGAACGCUGGCGGCAGGCCUAACACAUGCAAGUCGAGCGGAGCGGCGGACGGGUGGGUAAUGCCUAGGCAUCUGCCUGGUAGUGGGGGAUAACGUCCGGAAACGGGCGCUAAUCCCGCAUUCUAUCAGAUGCGCCUAGGUCGGAUUAGCGAGGUGGUGGGGUAAAGGCCUACCAAGGCGACGAUCCGUAACUGUUCUGAGAGGAUGAUCAGUCACACUGGAACUGAGACACGGGCUAGACUCCUAAGGGAGGCAGCAGGGGGGAAUAGUGGACAAUGGGCGAAAGCCUGAUCCAGCCAUGCCGCGUGUAUGAAGAAGGUCUUCGGAUUGUAAAGCACUGUAAGUUGGGAGGCGUUACCAACAGAAUAAGCACCGGCUAACUUCGUGCCAGCCGCCGCGGUAAUAA